RNAcentral lists this ribosomal RNA (378 nucleotides) under Triticum aestivum (bread wheat). RNAcentral's name for it is "partial small subunit ribosomal RNA". Lineage: Eukaryota; Viridiplantae; Streptophyta; Magnoliopsida; Poales; Poaceae. The record is from RNAcentral.
AUGACUGACCUUGCGGCGCCGAUGAAUAUGAAUAUGAAGAGGAAGGGUGUUGAGGUGGUGGCCAGCCAUGGAUUCUCCAUCUUCCUUGAUCCUAAGAGGAUCAAACUAGAGCUGCUGCCUCCAUAUGGUAUGGAUGGCAUGAUUCUGGACAUGAUGGAAGAUGACGAACCACCGGCACGUGCUCUAACUCCUACUGCUAGUGCACCAACCAUGGUCCAUGAGAAGGUGAACAUUGUAUCUGGGGGCAAAUCUUCAGAGCCACCAUUCAAGUUCAGUGAAGAACAGGACACUGCUGCAGCGACACCGAUGGACGUCGAGGCAGAAGCCCAACAACACCAGCCAUGCCGGAAUGCUCCUUUCUUUUCGGGUUUCUUCUGA